GGAGGUAUAGCUCAGUGGUACAGAGUGUGCUUAGCAUGCACAGGGUCCUGAGUUCAAUCUCCAGUACCUCCA
RNAcentral lists this transfer RNA (72 nucleotides) under Camelus bactrianus (Bactrian camel). It matches the Rfam family "tRNA". Rfam says of the family: Transfer RNA (tRNA) molecules are approximately 80 nucleotides in length. Their secondary structure includes four short double-helical elements and three loops (D, anti-codon, and T loops). RNAcentral also lists the same sequence under 2 other names. The record is from Rfam by way of RNAcentral. Lineage: Eukaryota; Metazoa; Chordata; Mammalia; Artiodactyla; Camelidae.